RNAcentral lists this small RNA (136 nucleotides) under Pantoea brenneri. Its description in RNAcentral is "Leucine operon leader". It matches the Rfam family "Leucine operon leader". From Rfam's summary of the family: At least 6 amino acid operons are known to be regulated by attenuation. In each a leader sequence of 150-200 bp is found upstream of the first gene in the operon. Lineage: Bacteria; Pseudomonadati; Pseudomonadota; Gammaproteobacteria; Enterobacterales; Erwiniaceae. The record is from RNAcentral. RNAcentral also lists the same sequence under 1 other name.
AUCCAUGUUUCGUUCUUCUCGCCUACUCGGUCUACUACUAAACGCAUUCAGUUUGCGCGGUAGACUUGUGGGCGGAAUCAAACACUGAUUCAAACCUGCUGAAAGUUAAAAACCCGCGCCUGUCGCGGGUUUUUUU